UACGAAGGGUGCAAGCGUUGCCCGGAAUCAUUGGGCGUAAAGUGUUUCGUAGGUGUUCUCGUAAGUUAUUCUUCAAAGCUUUCGGCUUAACCGGAAAAAGGGGAGUAAUACUGCGAGGAUUGAAGGGUGUUGGGGUCACUGGAAUUGUCGGUGUAGGGGUGAAAUCCGUUGAUAUCGACAAGAACUCCAAAGGCGUAGGCGGGUGACUGAGCACUUCUUGACACUGAUGAACGAAAGCUAGGGGAGCGAAAGGG
Molecule: ribosomal RNA, 254 nt
Filed under: uncultured bacterium
Lineage: Bacteria
Description: partial 16S ribosomal RNA
Rfam family: Bacterial small subunit ribosomal RNA
Source: RNAcentral